This 391-nucleotide ribosomal RNA is filed under the name uncultured bacterium. RNAcentral describes it as "bacterial SSU rRNA". It matches the Rfam family "Bacterial small subunit ribosomal RNA", at positions 30 to 417 of the family's 1533-position model. The record is from RNAcentral.
AGUGAACGCUGGCGGCAGGCCUAAUACAUGCAAGUCGAACGGCAGCACAGCAGAGCUUGCUCUGUGGGCGGCGAGUGGCGGACGGGUGAGGAAUACGUGGGAAUCUGCCCAGUCGUGGGGGAUAACGUAGGGAAACUUACGCUAAUACCGCAUGCGCCUUCGGGGAAAGCCGGGGACCUUCGGGCCUGGCGCGAUUGGAUGAGCCCACGUCGGAUUAGCUAGUUGGCGGGGUAAAGGCCCACCAAGGCGACGAUCCGUAGCUGGUCUGAGAGGAUGAUCAGCCACACUGGAACUGAGACACGGUCCAGACUCCUACGGGAGGCAGCAGUAGGGAAUAUUGGACAAUGGGCGCAAGCCUGAUCCAGCCAUGCCGCGUGAGUGAAGAAGGCCC